GACGAACGCUGGCGGCGUGCUUAACACAUGCAAGUCGAACGGAAAGGCCUCUUUCGGGGGGUACUCGAGUGGCGAACGGGUGAGUAACACGUGAGUAACCUGCCCUUGACUUUGGGAUAACUUCAGGAAACUGGGGCUAAUACCGGAUAGGAGCUCCUGCUGCAUGGUGGGGGUUGGAAAGUUUCGGCGGUUGGGGAUGGACUCGCGGCUUAUCAGCUUGUUGGUGGGGUAGUGGCUUACCAAGGCUUUGACGGGUAGCCGGCCUGAGAGGGUGACCGGCCACAUUGGGACUGAGAUACGGCCCAGACUCCUACGGGAGGCAGCAGUGGGGAAUAUUGCACAAUGGGCGGAAGCCUGAUGCAGCAACGCCGCGUGCGGGAUGACGGCCUUCGGGUUGUAAACCGCUUUCGCCUGUGACGAAGCGUGAGUGACGGUAAUGGGUAAAGAAGCACCGGCUAACUACGUG
RNAcentral lists this ribosomal RNA (466 nucleotides) under uncultured bacterium. RNAcentral describes it as "partial 16S ribosomal RNA". It matches the Rfam family "Bacterial small subunit ribosomal RNA", at positions 28 to 507 of the family's 1533-position model. The record is from RNAcentral.